AGCAGCAUGGCGCAGUGGCAGCGCGCGGGGCCCAUAACCCCGAGGUCACUCGAUCGAAACGAGUUGCUGCUA
RNAcentral lists this transfer RNA (72 nucleotides) under Flammula alnicola. RNAcentral describes it as "tRNA-Met". It matches the Rfam family "tRNA". Rfam says of the family: Transfer RNA (tRNA) molecules are approximately 80 nucleotides in length. RNAcentral also lists the same sequence under 2 other names. The record is from RNAcentral. Lineage: Eukaryota; Fungi; Basidiomycota; Agaricomycetes; Agaricales; Strophariaceae.